RNAcentral lists this unclassified non-coding RNA (247 nucleotides) under Hevea brasiliensis (rubber tree). Lineage: Eukaryota; Viridiplantae; Streptophyta; Magnoliopsida; Malpighiales; Euphorbiaceae. The record is from RNAcentral.
UUCUUACAAGAUGGAGAAAAGAUGUAAAUAGAUCCUAUGUUCUUGACCACAGCUGCGGUGGUAUCGAUACUAAUCACCCAGUUCACAGGUAAGACCAUUUGUACAAAUGUAUCGUGCGAGUUGUAGAGGGAGGGAGGAAAUCACAAGAUCGCUAUAAGGUUACUCUGCAAGCUUUGGGUGAGACAUUAAACAGGCUUCAUCUUUUAGAAGACUAGCCAUGUAAAUUAUUAGGGACCUUGAUGACUAG